Molecule: non-coding RNA, 905 nt
Organism: Physcomitrium patens
Lineage: Eukaryota; Viridiplantae; Streptophyta; Bryopsida; Funariales; Funariaceae
Source: RefSeq, a predicted model, not a curated record
ACUUGGAGAUGUUCUACUCGAAGGUUGAAUGCAUGAAUGGAAGGCUGGCAGUAAAAUUCAUCAAGUUGCAAUCGGGAAACACCUGAGGGGUGGGUCAGACUGGGAGGGUUCAGGUUCUCCUGUAUAAAAGGUUAGACGCACCAGGCAUUUCCAUCACAUUCGACGUCGAGAAUUCCAUUGGCAUUGUCCUGCAGCCCAUUCGUAUUCGUUCAGUACCAUCUUGCUCAAGUCAGCUUCAGCCAUUCGCAACUAUCAAUGGCCAAGAACAACGGCAAGUGCGGUGCUGACUGCGACUGCGCAGCAGGAACCUGCGCCAACGAGAACGGAGGAAAGUGCGGUGACUGUGAUUGCCCCGCAGGAACUUGCGCAAAGGAGAACGGUGGAAAGUGCGGAGACUGCGACUGCGCCGCCGGCACCUGCGCUAAGGAAUAGACUGAUGUCUGUCAUGAAGUCGCGACGUUGGGUCGGGGUCAAUAUACAGUGGGUGUACUCGCGAUAGUGCAUGACUCUUGGAAUAUGAGAUAGUUUGACUUAUCAAUCAUACAGAUAAUAUCAGCCUGGCUGUACUUGCCAUGAAUAAUACGGUGCCUUAGCAGACGCACCCUGAAUUGAAGCAUAGCAGUCGGUGCGUGCAUCGAAUCUGAGAUCAAUCAAAGUGAUGAACUGGGGAGUUUGGAUGAUCUAUCGAUCAACCACAUGCCGUUCUGAAGUACUCCCCAGUUCUGCACACAAUGAAUAUCUUUUAGUCUUUGGUAUACUCAUCUAUUCCUGGUUCAUUGAUCGAGGAUUAGGGUUGAACUUGUUCAUGUGAUAUGCACCAUAAACAUAUGACACCGCGUUCUGAAAAAUAUAGCUGCGUGCGAGAAAGCGUUAUAAACAACAUGAGCACAAACAAUUAUUCUUAA